AGAGCGAACGCUGGCGGCAGGCUUAACACAUGCAAGUCGAGCGGGCGUAGCAAUACGUCAGCGGCAGACGGGUGAGUAACGCGUGGGAACAUACCUCUUGGUUCGGAACAACACAGGGAAACUUGUGCUAAUACCGGAUAAGCCCUUACGGGGAAAGAUUUAUCGCCGAGAGAUUGGCCCGCGUCUGAUUAGCUAGUUGGUAGGGUAAUGGCCUACCAAGGCGACGAUCAGUAGCUGGUCUGAGAGGAUGAUCAGCCACAUUGGGACUGAGACACGGCCCAAACUCCUACGGGAGGCAGCAGUGGGGAAUAUUGGACAAUGGGGGCAACCCUGAUCCAGCCAUGCCGCGUGAGUGAUGAAGGCCCUAGGGUUGUAAAGCUCUUUGUGCGGGAAGAUAAUGACGGUACCGCAAGAAUAAGCCCGGCUAACUUCGUGCCAGCAGCCGC
RNAcentral lists this ribosomal RNA (446 nucleotides) under uncultured bacterium. Its description in RNAcentral is "SSU rRNA". It matches the Rfam family "Bacterial small subunit ribosomal RNA", at positions 26 to 518 of the family's 1533-position model. The record is from RNAcentral.